Molecule: long non-coding RNA, 1476 nt
Filed under: Felis catus (domestic cat)
Lineage: Eukaryota; Metazoa; Chordata; Mammalia; Carnivora; Felidae
Description: lncRNA (ENSFCAG00000048897.1)
Source: RNAcentral
AGAGAGAGCAAAUAAGUAUCAAGAACUAUGAAGGGUCUGGGUUGUCACCUUCCCUGCAAGCUGACAAUUUAACCUGAUACAGUUUUGGAUGCCGGCAGAAGACACGAGACUCCAGGGUCAGAGACAAAAGACUUUAUUACUUGCAGUGCAGGUGGCAUGAACUUCCUGUUUGUGCCAGUUCUUCCCAAGUCCCACAGGGACCAUUCAGGUGAUCCCAGGUAGGUAAUGGACACAAAAUGUGCUUGAACCACAGCCGGGGAGCUCUACGCUGAGAAAUCCCAGACUUUUCUAGUAGAUUACACACAAACCUGCUCCACCUUUAUCUCAGAGGGAGGCAUUAUCGUUAUCAUAGGGACAGCAAACAAACCUGCUCUCUGCUCUGCAGGAAGAAACUAUCUUCCAUGGCUGUUUGCUAUACAAACAUCCUUGAAAAGACAACCAAAAAAACCUUGCCCAUGCCACUGUUUGCAAGUUGUACAGAAAUGCCAAACACUCACAAAGAUUGUUUCCCAGUAGUGGUGGCACUGACACCCAAUGGGUGGUGGCUACUGUUUGUAAGGGUAAUUGGGGCUGAAGGUCAAGCACAAAAGUCUGCUCAGGGUAUAGUGUAGUGGUUCAAUGAGUAGACUCUAGAGUCAGACCACCUGGGUUCAAAUCCUGAUUCUGUUACUUUUUAGCUGUGUCACCUUGAGCAAGUCACUUGACUUCUCUGUGCUCCAGUUUAUCCUGCUAUAUGAUGGAAAUAGUAAUAGCCUCUAUCUCAAAGGGUUAGGUGAAAAUUAAUAUAUGAGCUUAUGUAUGCAAGGCACUUAGAAGAGCAUGAGCUGAUUGGGAGCCAUGUCAGUGUUAACUAUAAUUAUCACUAAUUAUCAUGACGGUGCCACAGAGCUCGUGGUCAUGCCUGCUUUUCGGCAUUUGUGGCCAAGCUCUGUAACCCACACAGUUCCCCUGGAGUCUGUCUCCGAGAUUUCUAGGAGGACACAGGGCCCUUUGCUUCCUCCACCCCACACUGGCUUAGUAAACACGGCAGUGGGGCUGGAGCGGUGGUGGUCUCAGGUCCCAGGGUAUCAGACAGACUCAGGUUCAAAUCCUGGCUUUGGCACAUGCCAGCUGGGUGACCUUGCAUGUGACCCACCAAGAAGAUAAUCUGGAUCAUCCUUAGCCAGUGCCACUUUGAUGACAUUGUUGUCAUGUUAUUCAAUCAGCAAGACUUCACAGGAUGCCAGAGGAGGAGAUCUUUGCUCUUGUCCACCAACAGUAAGUGCGCUCUGGCUCCCUUGGUCUCUCUGGUGCCUCAAACUCCAGGAGACACAUCGAGGGCCCCCCCCCCAUACUCUCCUCUGUCAUCUGACCCUAGUGUCCUCAUUUCCCACCUACCACACUCUUUCUGCCCAUCUCUCCACAGUCAAGGCCUGCUCACCUCCUCUAGGACUCUCUCACCCGUGGUCUUCAUAUAUGCAACACCUGUUUCUACUC